UGGAAGGCUCCCCUGCUGAGCAAUUCCACUACACUGACAGGUGCUUCAGAGAGACUGGGAGUGAUUUACAGCUUUGCGCUUCCACUCAGCCAGAUAGACAGCAGUCCAAUGAGGCCCUUGUGAGUCCUGCAUCAUGCACCUGCCCUGAAGCGUGGACAGCAGCACCAUCAGCACCGUCUGUUUCUCUAUUUAUUAUCUACCUGAAAAGAAGUAUUCCCCACAACAUCACACCACCACCACCACCACCAUUGCCAUCAGACUGAACUGUUGACACAAGGCAGGUUGGGUCCCUGGAUUAUAAAAGGUUACUGUUACUGUAGCUAUCCUGUCAGCUCAAAUGAGUUUGACCAUUCUCCUCUGACGUCUCCCAUCAACAAGGUGUUUCUUCCUGCAGAACUGCCGCUCAGUGGAUCUUAUCUUCCCACCCCACCCCCAUACACACACACACAUACACACACACACACACACACACACACACACACACACACACACACACACACACACACACACACACACACACACACACACACACACACACACACACACACACACACACACACACACACACACACACACACACACUCUCUAA
This is a long non-coding RNA of Ictalurus punctatus (channel catfish), 589 nucleotides long. RefSeq lists it as uncharacterized. The transcript is spliced from 2 exons. Lineage: Eukaryota; Metazoa; Chordata; Actinopteri; Siluriformes; Ictaluridae. The record is from RefSeq and is a predicted model, not a curated record.